RNAcentral lists this ribosomal RNA (543 nucleotides) under uncultured Glomeromycotina. Its description in RNAcentral is "SSU rRNA". It matches the Rfam family "Eukaryotic small subunit ribosomal RNA", at positions 550 to 1098 of the family's 1831-position model. The record is from RNAcentral. Lineage: Eukaryota; Fungi; Glomeromycota.
GGAGGGCAAGUCUGGUGCCAGCAGCCGCGGUAAUUCCAGCUCCAAUAGCGUAUAUUAAAGUUGUUGCAGUUAAAAAGCUCGUAGUUGAAUUUCGGGAUCAAUAUGCUGGUCGUGCCUUUGGUACGUACUGGUAUUAUUGGUUUCUCCUUUCUGAUGAAUCACGAUGUCAUUAAUUUGGUGUCAUGGGGAAUCAGGACUGUUACUUUGAAAAAAUUAGAGUGUUUAAAGCGGGCUUACGCUUGAAUACAUUAGCAUGGAAUAAUGAAAUAGGACGUUUAAUUCUAUUUUGUUGGUUUCUAGGAUUGACGUAAUGAUUAAUAGGGAUAGUUGGGGGCAUUAGUAUUCAAUUGUCAGAGGUGAAAUUCUUGGAUUUAUAGAAGACUAACUACUGCGAAAGCAUUUGCCAAGGAUGUUUUCAUUAAUCAAGAACGAAAGUUAGGGGAUCGAAGACGAUCAGAUACCGUCGUAGUCUUAACCAUAAACUAUGCCGACUAGGGAUCGGGUGAUGUUAAUUUAUGACUCAUUCGGCGCCUUACGGGAAAC